Molecule: small RNA, 124 nt
Filed under: Marmota monax (woodchuck)
Lineage: Eukaryota; Metazoa; Chordata; Mammalia; Rodentia; Sciuridae
Source: RNAcentral
GCCAGGAGUGGUGAUGCACACCUGUAAUCCCAGCAGCUUGGGAGGCUGAGACAGGAGGAUCACGUGCUCAAAGCCAGCCUCAGAAAUAGGGAGGCCUAAGCAACUCAGUGAGACCCUGUCUCUA